UGGGGAAUAUUGCACAAUGGGCGAAAGCCUGAUGCAGCGACGCCGCGUGAGGGAUGACGGCCUUCGGGUUGUAAACCUCUUCAGCAGGGAGAAGCGAAAGUGACGGUACCUGCAGAAGAAGCGCCGGCUAACUACGUGCCAGCAGCCGCGGUAAUACGUAGGGCGCAAGCGUUGUCCGGAAUUAUUGGGCGUAAAGAGCUCGUAGGCGGUUAGUCGCGUCUGCUGUGAAAACUCGAGGCUCAACCUCGGGCUUGCAGUGGGUACGGGCUGACUAGAGUGCGGUAGGGGUGACUGGAAUUCCUGGUGUAGCGGUGGAAUGCGCAGAUAUCAGGAGGAACACCGAUGGCGAAGGCAGGUCACUGGGCCGCAACUGACGCUGAGGAGCGAAAGCAUGGGGAGCGAACAGGAUUAGAUACCCUGGUAGUCCAUGCCGUAAACGUUGGGCACUAGGUGUGGGGUCCAUUCCACGGAUUCCGUGCCGCAGCAAGCAGCAUUGAAGUGCCCCAGCUGGGGACGGCUGACGGCCGCAAGGCUAAAACUCAAAAUGAAUUGACGGGGUCAUUGCUGUUUCCU
RNAcentral lists this ribosomal RNA (573 nucleotides) under uncultured bacterium. Its description in RNAcentral is "partial 16S ribosomal RNA". It matches the Rfam family "Bacterial small subunit ribosomal RNA", at positions 355 to 1363 of the family's 1533-position model. The record is from RNAcentral.